This 24-nucleotide non-coding RNA is filed under the name Arabidopsis thaliana (thale cress). The record is from RNAcentral. Lineage: Eukaryota; Viridiplantae; Streptophyta; Magnoliopsida; Brassicales; Brassicaceae.
AAUGUGAAUGAACUACAAAAUGAU